UACGGGGGGGGUAAGCGUUGUUCGGAAUUACUGGGCGUAAAGGGCUCGUAGGCGGCCAACUAAGUCAUACGUGAAAUCCCUCGGCUUAACCGGGGAACUGCGUCUGAUACUGGAUGGCUUGAGUUCGGGAGAGGGAUGCGGAAUUCCAGGUGUAGCGGUGAAAUGCGUAGAUAUCUGGAGGAACACCGGUGGCGAAGGCGGCAUCCUGGACCGACACUGACACUGAGGAGCGAAAGCCAGGGGAGCAAACGGG
Molecule: ribosomal RNA, 253 nt
Filed under: uncultured bacterium
Lineage: Bacteria
Description: partial 16S ribosomal RNA
Rfam family: Bacterial small subunit ribosomal RNA
Source: RNAcentral